This 638-nucleotide ribosomal RNA is filed under the name Amanita sp. Its description in RNAcentral is "LSU rRNA". It matches the Rfam family "Eukaryotic large subunit ribosomal RNA", at positions 128 to 752 of the family's 3401-position model. The record is from RNAcentral. Lineage: Eukaryota; Fungi; Basidiomycota; Agaricomycetes; Agaricales; Amanitaceae.
AUUUAAAAUCUGGCAGUGUUUGCUGUCCGAGUUGUAACCCCUGUGCUGGACCAUGUACAAGUCUCCUGGAAUGGAGCAUCACAGAGGGUGAGAAUCCCGUCUUUGACAUGGACUACCAGUGCAUUGNGGUUGNGCUCUCAACGAGUCGAGUUGUUUGGGAAUGCAGCUCUAAAUGGGUGGUAAAUUCCAUCUAAAGCUAAAUAUUGGCGAGAGACCGAUAGCGAACAAGUACCGUGAGGGAAAGAUGAAAAGAACUUUGGAAAGAGAGUUAAACAGUAUGUGAAAUUGUUGAAAGGGAAACGUUUGAAGUCAGUCAUGUUGGCUGGGGAUCAGCCUGACAUUUUGUUGGGUGUACUUCCUGGUGAACGGGCCAACAUCAGUUUUGACUGCCAGAGAAAGUCCAAGGGAAUGUGGCACCUUUGGGUGUGUUAUAGCUCUUGGUCGUAUGUGGUGGUUGGGACUGAGGAUAGCAGUGUGCCGAAAGGCAGGGUUUCGACCACAUUCGCACUGAGGAUGUUGGCAUAAUGGCUUUAAGCGACCCGUCUUGAAACACGGACCAAGGAGUCUAACAUGCAUGCGAGUGUUUGGGUGGAAAACCCUUACGCGUAAUGAAAGUGAAAGUUGAGAUCCCUGUCAUG